UUACAGCCAUAUCACUUUGAAACACCAAUUCCCAUAUGAUCACCGAUGUUAAACAAUGUUGAGUCUGGUUAGUACCUAGAUGGGUGAUGACUUGGGAAUACCAGGUGCUGUAA
Molecule: non-coding RNA, 113 nt
Organism: Acanthosepion pharaonis
Lineage: Eukaryota; Metazoa; Mollusca; Cephalopoda; Sepiida; Sepiidae
Source: the annotation of a GenBank genome assembly